This 348-nucleotide unclassified non-coding RNA is filed under the name soil metagenome. Its description in RNAcentral is "partial contains 5.8S ribosomal RNA, internal transcribed spacer 2, and large subunit ribosomal RNA". The stretch from base 1 to 120 matches the Rfam family "5.8S ribosomal RNA", at positions 35 to 154 of the family's 154-position model. The record is from RNAcentral.
GAUGAAGAACGCAGCGAAAUGUGAUAAGUAAUGUGAAUUGCAGAAUUCAGUGAAUCAUCGAGUCUUUGAACGCACAUUGCGCCCCCUGGUAUUCCGGGGGGCAUGCCUGUCCGAGCGUCAUUGCUGCCCUCAAGCACGGCUUGUGUGUUGGGCCCCCGUCCCCGGUUUCCCCCGGGGACGGGCCCGAAAGGCAGCGGCGGCACCGCGUCCGGUCCUCGAGCGUAUGGGGCUUUGUCACCCGCUCUGUAGGCCCGGCCGGCGCCAGCCGACACCCAACUUUAUUUCUAAGGUUGACCUCGGAUCAGGUAGGGAUACCCGCUGAACUUAAGCAUAUCAAUAAGCGGAGGA